Molecule: ribosomal RNA, 484 nt
Filed under: uncultured bacterium
Lineage: Bacteria
Description: partial 16S ribosomal RNA
Rfam family: Bacterial small subunit ribosomal RNA
Source: RNAcentral
AUUGAACGCUGGCGGCAGGCCUAACACAUGCAAGUCGAGCGGAUGAAGGGAGCUUGCUCCUGGAUUCAGCGGCGGACGGGUGAGUAAUGCCUAGGAAUCUGCCUGGUAGUGGGGGAUAACGUCCGGAAACGGGCGCUAAUACCGCAUACUUCCUGAGGGAGAAAGUGGGGGAUCUUCGGACCUCACGCUAUCAGAUGAGCCUAGGUCGGAUUAGCUAGUUGGUGGGGUAAAGGCCUACCAAGGCGACGAUCCGUAACUGGUCUGAGAGGAUGAUCAGUCACACUGGAACUGAGACACGGUCCAGACUCCUACGGGAGGCAGCAGUGGGGAAUAUUGGACAAUGGGCGAAAGCCUGAUCCAGCCAUGCCGCGUGUGUGAAGAAGGUCUUCCGAUUGUAAAGCACUUUAAGUUGGGAGGAAGGGCAGUAAGUUAAUACCUUGCUGUUUUGACGUUACCAACAGAAUAAGCACCGGCUAACUUCGUG